UUAUGUGUUUCCUUUUCUUUUCUAAGUGUGAAUGCAACACAAUGCGCGUGGUGGCCGUGUAUACCUACCACUACCAAUACCACCGCGUAGCUUUUCUGUUAUUUUAAAAUAAAGAGACCAAACAACCGUUAUAUUAAUAUAGUUUUUUGCGAGACUUAUUGACUCGAGGUCUGCGCUCUAAGCAUAAAAAUAAGAAUGAAGAAGGGCAAUUCAUUGGAGUGCAGCCCCAGCGAGGUGUUAUGGCCUAUUCUUCCUUCAUCUACGAUGUGUUCAUCAGUUUGAUAACCUCUGAUACUCGAUUCGGUUUCAGUGGCGAUCUCUACACAGCUCUCUCUGACAAAGGAAUCCUCACCUUCAUUGAUGACGGACUUCCCCGUCCGGAUGACAUCAUGUCAACAGUUAAUUCCAAAGCAAUUGAAAGUUCCAGGAUUGCUAUUGUUGUGAUCUCUGAGAACUAUGCUUCUUCUUCGUUUUGCUUGGAUGAACUCAUGUACAUCCUUAAGCGCCGCGAGGAAAAGGGUCUGUUGAUAUGGCCUGUUUUCUAUCAAGUGGAACCUUCUGAUGUGCGGUAUCAGAAAGGGGGUUUUGGAAAAGCUUUUGCCAGUCAUGAGGAAAGGUUCGGCAGUGAUAGUGCGAAAGUGAGGAAAUGGAGGAACGCUCUGAAACAAGUAGCAGAUUUGAAGGCCUUCCAUUUUUUCAAACACGGGUUGGGGAACAAUUUGCUCAAGUUUAGGAUGACAGCUAAAGAUUUUAUGUUGACAAGCCAAUUCUUUUGGGUUGGAAAAAGAUUAUAGAAGUGUUUAACAAAUCGAAAAUGCCGGACAAAGAAAAAAAUGUUCAAACUCUCAGUGAUGUAAAUUUUACAAUUGUGAAAUUCAAUAGUUUUUUACCUUUUUUUCAAAUUAUAUUCUUGUCAUUUUUCAUGUGUAUUUUUUUUAAUAUUUUACAUUUUUUAGUUUACAGUUUAUGCGAAUUUCUCUUAAACUGUAAAACUAUAUGUUCAUAAUUUGAAAAAAAAAAUUAAAAAAGGCAAUUCCCCUCUUAAGAAUAUGACUGUAGGUUCUAAAUAUAAAAAUAGUGCCGUAAUAAAAGUAAAAUUCAAUAAAUGAGCAAUUUAGUAAAAAAAUUACUACAAUGUUCCAUCAAAGCAAAAGGGCGUGUCAUUACUCUUAUUUCUUCAUUUUUAAGUACACCGUAUUGGCUAUUAGACCCAAAAAAAACACGAAAUUGGCUUAGAUGGAGAUGGUGCUCUGGGAACCACAUUGGCUAUAACUUCAAUGAGAGUAGGAGACCAAGUAAAACAGCAAUGUGAGAAGGACGCUUUGAGGGACUUGAUGUCCAUAAUGUAGGUAUUGAUCUCUGCUACUCCAACCUACACUCUCUAGUCACUAUUAUAGCAAAAGUUUGUUUUUAGAUUUAUUCAAUAAAUGAUGUAUGUUACCAUUUUAAUGACCACAUACAUCAUUUAUUGAAUGAAUCUAAAAAACUUACUUUUACUUAUAAUAGUGAUACGAGGGUUAAAGUGUGAGUGCAUCACAAUGCGCGUGGUGGCGGUCUAUACCUACCAUUACCUUAAAAUAAACCAAACAACCGUUAUAUUAAUAUAGUUUUUCGGAAGACUUAUUGACUUGAGGUCUGCGUUCUAAGCAUAAAAUUAAGAAUGAAGAAGGGCAAUUCAUUGGAGUGCAGCCCCAGCGAGGUGUUAUGGCGAGUCGAUCUUCCUCCUCCUCUUCCUUCACCUACGAUGUGUACCUCAGUUGCAGAGCUUCUGAAUCUGAUACUCGAACAUUGGGUUUCAGUGGCAAUCUCUACAAAGCUCUCUCUGACGACAAAGGAAUCCUCACCUGCUUUUUUGACACACUUCGCAGUGGGGAUGAAAUCAUGUCAUCACUUUACAAAGCAAUUGAAAGUUCCAGGAUUGCCAUUGUUGUGAUCUCUGAGAAUUAUGCUUCUUCUUCAUUUUGCUUGGAUGAACUCGUCUACAUCCUUAAGCGCCGCGAGGAAAAGGGUCUGUUGAUAUUGCCUAUUUUCUAUAGAGUGGAACCUUCUGAUGUGCGGUAUCAGAAAGGGAGUUUUGCAGAAGCUUUUGUCAGGCUUGAGAAUAGUGAGUUAGUGAUGAAAUGGAGGAACGCUCUGAAACAAGUAGCAGCUUUGAAUGCCUUCCAUUUCAAACGCGGGAGUGGAAAUGAAAGGGACUUCAUUAUGAUUGUCGUUGAAGAAGUCUCUAAGAUGAUUGUUUCUCAAGUUAUGUUACGGGCUAAAGGGCGAGCUGAGAUGGUGUGGAGACUUGUUGGUCUUGCAUCAAGUGUAGUUGGCAUGUUAUGUCAUGCUUUGAGCCCUUCUUUCACACGUUUAAUUCGUGGGUGGAACUUUUUGAAGCUUUCUCUUUACUGUGUAUUUUUCCUGGUGGUAUGUGCCUCCAUUUUGUUUGGGAAGCGGUUUCCACUCUUAAGACAGCAAAGUAUUUUCAGAAGCUACGUGAUCUUUGCAGUUUUGAUUAUCAUCUCUGUGUACUCAUUCUUAUACGACAAAGCUGUAAAUGGGAAACCUGAAGUAACGAGCUUGGUUGCUAAUGCUGCAUUUACUUUGAUGUCACUGAGCUUGUCCAAACUGAUCAAGUCUGGAUAUGAGAUUGGUAUGUUUGCCUAUUUCCUAGGCUGCUUAACCAUUCAACUGGUGACCAUCAACUGGGCGCUGAUUUUGGUCGCCAUAGUCUUCGGUUGUCCACUCUUUAUUAUGCAUUCCUCUUCAGAUUCCCCACUAGAUGCUGGUAAUGAAGGUCAACUUUUCCAUUCCUCUUUGGAUUCCCAACCACAUGUUGGUAGUGCUGGUCAACAUGUCGUAGACAUACCAAAUGAAGAAAGCAAACUAGUGUCCUUUGAUAGUGGUUACGAUAGUGAUUAUGAUUAUUAUGGAAGUGCAGACCCGACGCAAAUAGGAUUUUGACACCGGGGUGGCUAAAGCUCGAAACGACUCCACAUGUGUAAAUCAAUAAAUAAAACUGAUUUUUUUUAUAAAAAGAAGAAAUAAGUAAUAUAAUUAGUUUGAGUAUAAGAGAGACUAAUUGACUCAUAAAUUUGUUAAAACUGAAAGUCCGAAUAAAUAAAAAUCCAAAACAUGUGUUUGUCUUUUUAUGAUAUUACUUAAUGUAUAAAUAAACUAACUUGUCAAACAAAUCAAUAUACUUGUUCCUAGUUUAGUGUAAGUCAUAUUAAAUUUGUUCUUAAUUUUGGAGGGUUUAACUAUGUAAAAUCUAAUCGAAGAACUAUUUGGUUCUACAAGUUAUGGUUCAACUCUAGGGAAGACUACCCAGGAUUGCAUGAUCAAGAUGUUCUCAACAAGAUCAAAACAGACCCUCUCAUAUCUCAGAAGAAGUUGAAGAUUAGAUUUCUCAACACACGCUAUUUUGGAGGGUUUUGUCAGUCUAGCAAGGAUUUUAAGAAGGUCUCAACUAUGCAUGCCAAUUGCUGUGUGGGUUUAGAAAACAAAGUGAAUGAUCUUAGGAUUUUGCUUGAGGAUUGGAGGAAGUAUAUGGCAUUGUCUGAAGACCAGAGAAAUAAAUCACAUGCUUCCUGGAGUGUACCACAAACUUGCAGGACAUCCUUUGAACGUACAAGACAAAGGAGGCAGGGUAAAGGGAGGUUGUGACAGAGAUUGCAUAUUACUGUGUGAUGCUUGUAUCAAUAGGUAUGGGAAAUUAUCUGCAAUUAUAGGCUACCUUAUAAAAGCAUUGAACAUUAAUUUUACAUUUGAUUUAUUUGCUGUAAGUUGUAACUAGCUUGUUGUCUUUCACUCCCCAACAAAAGAAAAGAAGAUGCCUUGUCUAAAA
RNA transcript from Lotus japonicus, 3829 nucleotides. RefSeq lists it as uncharacterized. The transcript has 4 exons. The record is from RefSeq and is a predicted model, not a curated record. Lineage: Eukaryota; Viridiplantae; Streptophyta; Magnoliopsida; Fabales; Fabaceae.